RNAcentral lists this unclassified non-coding RNA (3382 nucleotides) under Dimorphilus gyrociliatus. Its description in RNAcentral is "hypothetical protein". Lineage: Eukaryota; Metazoa; Annelida; Polychaeta; Dinophilidae. The record is from RNAcentral.
CUCUAUCAAUUUUCUCUUUUAAAAUAUACACAAGAAUAGAAGAAAUGGAUCAUCUUCUCCUAUUCACAAUAGGCCUAAUUGCAUUAUUACUAAACGAAAACAACCUCUCCCUUAUAAAAUUCUUUAUAUCUUUUUAUAUAAAACUUUACAAGUUUUACUAGUCUUUUAUUUAUUGAAACUUGGUUUUUUAUGCAUUUAAACCUAUGUGAGAUAGCAAUGAAAUAAGAAAAAGAAGAAGGAGAAGAAUGAUAGAGAGAGAGAGAGAGAGAGAGAGAGAGAAGUAAAAAGGGGGAAAAAGUAGAGAAAAUCUUUCAUUAACUAGACUAAUUCGCUUUUUAAUAAGAGUUAAAACUUCUUAGGCAGAACUUCAAUUUCCCCUUUUUAUAUAUUGAUUUGAAUGAUUUUUCUCAAUUUCCUUGUCUGUCUGUCCGUCUUUCUGACUGUUUGUUUGAUCUUUGUAAUCUGAUAACAACGUUUUCAACAUUAGGGCAAAGAUAAUGAUAUCAUUGAAAUUUCUAGGCAAAUGUUAAAAAAGUUAAAGAAUUCAAUAUACUAAAGUUGUUUAAUAGAGACUGGAUAAGGAGAGAUUGCAGCAGUAACUUUAUAUAGUUUAACAAAUAAACUUAAAAAAAGGGAAGAGUAUGAGCGCAUCCAGGGUGAAAUUUACCUUGCCUGAAAAUGAGAAAUCGAAAGAUGAUAUUGAUAAAAUUUUCAAUGGUCUUCCACCGAAAGUUGACAGUGCAAAGGCGGUUGAAAAGAGUUGCCACAGCAACGAUACUAUACAAGCGCAACCGUAUACUUUACACAUAAAUCCCGGAUUAAAUAAUCAUCUUUCGGAAGAAUCUUGGAAAACAUUAACCCAAGCAAAGUGUGUUUACGAAGAUCUUUUAUCACACCGAUGCUAUCGUUUAGACCAAAGACUACUAGAGAGAAAAGCUUAUUUGGAUGAGAAAAUCAAUGAUUUAUACAGAAAGGAGACAAAAGAGAGCGAGCAAGAGGCUAUGGAGUACGCGGUCAAAUGUCAAUAUCAGUUGCAAAUGCUGCAAGAGGCUAUUGUUAAAGAUUUAACGGGCAUGAUGAAAGAUUAUCAGGGUAAGCUGGAUCUAUUGACAGUUAGUCUGCUAAAAGCUACAAAAGGGGCGAGCGAAACGGACUUGUAAGAAGAAGAGGAAGAGAAAAUAAAAUAUCUUACAACAAGAAGAAAAUAUAUAUGUUAAAUGUCUGCAGUCUCUUAUCGUGUAAUUGUUAAGCUUCUUCAAUAUUCACUAUAUUUUUCUUAUAAGCAAAUUAAGGUGAGAGAAUUUUUUAUAUUUUCCCAAAAUUUCCUUUUCUUUCUGAAAGAAAAGAAAAAUCUCUAUUUAAAAUAUUUUUCUUUUAACUAAAACCGUCUCAAACAAAGAUUAUCUCUUAUACAAAGAGGGAAGAACGUUAGAGCAGUAGAAGGGCGAAAAAGCAAAAUACUUAUUUUUCACCCUUUCUCCAAUCAUUUACUCUUCCUUCUCCAUUUUCUUUUUAUUUUCCUUAAGGAAUUAAAGAUUAAAAAGAAAAGAUUAGUAAAGAGUAUUCAAGGUAAAAGUUUUAUCAGAUUUCGAUUAAUGGUAGGCAUUUUGGAUAUAUUUCAUCCAUUAAAACGUUAUUAAUAGUCUCUUAUAGAUAAGUUGUAUCGCUUUUUUUAUGUUCGUUCAGUCUUUUUAAUUCUUCUUUUCAACUAUACAUAAAGAAAGAUAUACUGAUAAUCUAUCCUUUUCUUUAUUCGUAUUCAGAGAGAGAGAGAGAGAAAUAGAUAGACAGACAGUUAGAUAGAUAGACAUAUUAACUGACAAAAACUAACGGUUAAUGCACUAAAUGUACACUUAUGUAUACGUUACAAUCGAACUUUAAUAGAGUACCUAAGGGAAUUCCUCUACUCUUUCGUCAUACUUAAUGACAUUUUUACUAUUGAUAAGGUUCAUUUCAUUCUAAGAGUAUUAAUUUAGCAUAAAUAGAAAUAUUAGGAGGAACAUCUGGACAUUUUUCUAAAUUUAUUUUAGUUUGUCUUGACAAAAAAUUUCUAAAAUUCUUUGAAUUCUUUAUACAAAAUAUAGACAAUCAAUUUAUCAGUAUAUCUCUAUCAUUUCCCAGCCAUUCAGAAAUUGGUUUAUACAUUCAAAGGGAUAUGAGAAAGUUUAAUAUUCGUCUAAACGAGCAUUUUAUGCAAACAAACGCUAUUAAGUACCAUCGUAACGAUCGUACAUUUACAUGUAUUUCAACACCAUAUGACGUCAUUUAAGGUCUCUAUGGAAAUAUAAAUUACGAAAAGUAAAACUAUUAACAAAAGCUUUUAUAAUUAGAAGGAAAAUUAUAGAUUUUUCUUCUAAAUGAAACGAAAAUAACAUUAAAUCCAUUACUUUACCGUGAGCUAACUGAAUGUUAUCUGGGUAACUGGGUGUUUGUAUACUUUUUUUCUUUCCUUCCUCCUCUUUCUUUACGGAGAGAGAGAGAGGAAGAAGAAGAAGAAGGGGAAGAAAGAAAGAAAGAGGGUACAAGUAUAAAUUUUUUAUUCUAUUUAUAUAGUUCUAAUAAUCAUUCGUCUAUUUUUUCGAAGUAAAUAAGAAGAACAAAUUGACGACAGUCUAUCGAUACCACACAUGGUCGUUGUACUUGAAUAGCAUAGAUACGCCUAUAAACUAACUAUCAUUCUUUUUAAAAUAAUAAACAUUGGCAAACUGACGACGGCGGGGGGGGGCAGAGGGGGGCCGAUAGAAGAUUUUAAAAAUUUGCAAUAAAUACAUAGGCCCAUUCAGAUUGAACACGUAAACAAUUUCCAUAUUACAGUCUGUACUGUAUAUAGAAAUCGUUAAAUGAAAAACUAAGUUAAACAGACGCAUAAGUCUCUCUCCUCUAGACGGCUUUGCCGAAAAACACAAAUAUUGAAUAGACGCUUGCUCAAAUAAAAUUGAGAAAACACAGCAUUAAAAACUGGUACACAGCAAUUUAGUAAAUCUUCUUCCCGUUAUUUUUUUGUUAUUUGAAUAUUUGAUGUAACGUUGAACAAUGAUUAUAUAGUUUUCUCUCACUCUAUCGUUUCCUCUUCUCUUCCGACCUUUUAACUUUGUAGUUUCUUAAGAUGAAACUUGAAUGAAGUUUGUUUGAAUAUUAAUAAGUAUUAUUGACGAAUCGACUAAUCAUUUAAUUGAAUAAUAUUGUAUAAUCUAUAUUGUAUAUAUACAUGUAUUAUCUUUACUAAUUUAUGGAUAAUUUAUCAUAUUUAUUACGUUAAUUACUUAAAUUAAUCAAAUAAAACGUUGGCCUACUUUGUUCAUGACAAUUUAGUGAAUAUAUGUAUUUAAAUGUAUUUUAUAUUAAACGUCAAAAAAGAAAAUGUUUGUUUUUUGUUUGUUUU